AUACGGAGGGUGCGAGCGUUAAUCGGAAUUACUGGGCGUAAAGGGUGCGUAGGCGGCUUGAUAAGUCGGAUGUGAAAGCCCCGGGCUUAACCUGGGAAUUGCAUUCGAUACUGUCAGGCUAGAGUAUGUCAGAGGUUGGCGGAAUUCCUGGUGUAGCGGUGAAAUGCGUAGAUAUCAGGAGGAACACCAGUGGCGAAGGCGGCUAACUGGGACAAUACUGACGCUGAGGCACGAAAGCGUGGGGAGCAAACAGGAUUAGAAACCCUAGUAGUCC
Molecule: ribosomal RNA, 274 nt
Filed under: uncultured bacterium
Lineage: Bacteria
Description: partial 16S ribosomal RNA
Rfam family: Bacterial small subunit ribosomal RNA
Source: RNAcentral